This is a long non-coding RNA of Marmota monax (woodchuck), 745 nucleotides long. RefSeq lists it as uncharacterized. The record is from RefSeq and is a predicted model, not a curated record. The transcript is spliced from 3 exons. Lineage: Eukaryota; Metazoa; Chordata; Mammalia; Rodentia; Sciuridae.
UCUUUAUGUUUCUGCCUGUCUCACCACACCUCAGACGUUUCCAUGGAAGGGGAGGGUCCUGGAGAGAAAACGGGCAGCAUUUAGAAAAAUGUAAACAUUUCCCAACAAAUGCUGGAAAGGAAUUCCCACUUGGAAAAACUCGUCCAGGCUUGCUCUGUUGGCCAGAAGGCAGGGGACACGGCAGCACAUGCCCACCUGCAGUGAUGGCUCUGUGCUCCAGGAAGGCGCUGAUUUCCCCUGGGCUCGGCCACCUGGGGAAGCUGGAACUUGUGAACUCAGCCGCAGACGCAGGAGAGCCCUGGGCUGGGAGCGUUUCCGCGUUUCCAAGCCAACGCUGAAGGCUCGGGCACUGGUGGAUGGGAAAGCCAUUGAUUUUUCUCGAGAUAAUAACUCCAGUGUAUUUGUUCAGUGUCUUUCAGAACCAGAGCCUUGUCUGAUUUUAUUUCUGUUUUGUUUUGGUUUUAGUUUGUUUGCUCUGAGAGGAAAAAAGUGAACUGACUAAAGUCAAAAAUCUCAGUGUUUCUUGUUCAGUGGCUCCCGGGGUCAAACGGUUGAUGUCCUCCUGUCAAAAGCACUGGUUCUGCAACAUGACUCUAAUGAGCACCUACUGUGUGUUGUCAUGGGCAGGGAGGGCUUUGGGAGGAGCAUGACGUCUGGUGGCUUCUGAGAGGGCAGCCUGGCUCCUGGAGUCCAUAGUCCCUCCCCAAGUGACCUCUAAGUCCUGAUGACAAGUCCUCUGUCAAGA